UGCAUGAAGUUGCUUGUGAUGCAGACUGCCUGCCCAUCUGUGUUCUUACCGACAGCCUCCAGCUGUCUCAGAAGCAAAUCACAGCAAUUAACAGUUCAUAAACUGUGUUUCCUCACUUUCACAUACAAGUCAGCAAAGAAGAGACAACAAAGACUUACAAAAGGACAGGAACUUCCAACCAGCAGUCCAGCGAGACGAACAGCCACAGCCAGCUAACCAUGUGAAUGACCAUUGCAAUGGCUUUUCUUCAGACAGCCUAUAAAGAGUCACCGUCUGACACCAGGGAGUAAACUGUGUGAAUCACUGUCUUCCAGUUAAAUGUCAACACUGCUGCAGUAUCUCAGACAGCCACUUAUAGGAGGGAUCCUUGGUUGGGGCCCAGCAGCAGAAGUCUGUGCAGCAAAAAACAGACAGAGGGUCCUCCCUUUGCUAUACACACCAAAAUGCUGCAAAUGCAACAUUCAGUUGCUAAUGUGACAAAUGUCAAAUUCAAACUGUGUUUAACUGAUUCAAGCUUAUUAUGGAAAGUUUCUAGUCAAGGCAGCAAGUCCCUCUCUGGAACAAUUUCUGUUACAGAAGAAUCUAUGAACUAAAGGGUCGGGGACAGAAGUAAUAAAAAAUUAUUGGUUUAUAAUAAAAGAAUCAAAAUGUUUGCAUUGGCUCUCCUAUUGGCUCUCUGAAUAAUCAUUCCUACCCUAAAACAGGUAAUUAUUUUCUUUUGUGUCCAUUAAAACCACCCUUUCUGGUCUUGCAUCACAGAUUUUCAAUUCUGAUUAAGCUUCAAGCACAAUUUUCUGUCAGGAAUUGGACUUUCUCAGAACAAAGCAGUUUUCUACUGUGCACUGUAACUAUGUUCUCCAUGGCUGAGUAGCAAAAGCUGCAAUUCACCCCCAGCACCCAGUUAUGCAUAGUAUGUGGGGAAAAGCAGUAAAUUAAAAUGACAGAAUUGUCCUCAGACUCUGAAUAUUAUACUAAGCAUGCUUUGGCAUCUUAUAUUUAGAGUGAGCUAUUUUAUGCUCAUUUCCUCUUGAUACAGUUUAGUUAAUAGCUAAAUUCAGUCACAAAACCACUUGUAAAUAAGCACCUUGUUACAGAUUACAGUGUUCUCAAUCCUCAUGGCUCUUCGACCCAGUCUAUCAGCCAAUAAAAUCUACCAAUACAGUAUAUAAUUUCUGUCACGUUUGAGUGUUUUUAUACAUUAAUG
Corapipo altera (White-ruffed manakin) is the source of this 1204-nucleotide long non-coding RNA. RefSeq lists it as uncharacterized. The transcript has 3 exons. NCBI's taxonomy places the organism in Eukaryota, Metazoa, Chordata, Aves, Passeriformes, Pipridae. The record is from RefSeq and is a predicted model, not a curated record.